Molecule: ribosomal RNA, 397 nt
Filed under: uncultured bacterium
Lineage: Bacteria
Description: partial 16S ribosomal RNA
Rfam family: Bacterial small subunit ribosomal RNA
Source: RNAcentral
AUACGUAGGGGGCGAGCGUUGUCCGGAAUGAUUGGGCGUAAAGGGCGCGUAGGCGGCCCGGUAAGUCUGGAGUGAAAGUCCUGUUUUUAAGAUGGGAAUUGCUUUGGAUACUGUCGGGCUUGAGUGCAGGAGAGGUAAGUGGAAUUCCCAGUGUAGCGGUGAAAUGCGUAGAGAUUGGGAGGAACACCAGUGGCGAAGGCGACUUACUGGACUGUAACUGACACUGAGGCGCGAAAGUGUGGGGAGCAAACAGGAUUAGAUACCCUGGUAGUCCACACUGUAAACGAUGAAUGCUAGGUGUAGGGGGUAUCGACCCUUUCUGUGCCGCAGUCAACACAAUAAGCAUUCCGCCUGGGGAGUACGGCCGCAAGGUUGAAACUCAAAGGAAUUGACGGGG